Molecule: long non-coding RNA, 765 nt
Organism: Osmia bicornis bicornis
Lineage: Eukaryota; Metazoa; Arthropoda; Insecta; Hymenoptera; Megachilidae
Exons: 3
Source: RefSeq, a predicted model, not a curated record
GGCACCUCUCGAAACUGUACGUUUACUAACCCGAACUACAUGUACGUUUGAAUGCUGAGCUGCAUCAUAAUAUGAAUCAAAAGUGGCUGGAAGGAAUAUUUGAAUAUCCUACAGCAAAAGUGGGAUUGGGACGACCAUUGAAGACGUUCGAAGAGUCAAGCGAGUGAAGCAAAGACGGAAAACAGAAAAAUUACGGAGCAGCGUGGAAGAAUGAAUUUUUGCAACUUGCGCGAAAAAGCAAACUAGCGGAGUAAGGGAUGCUUCUCAAGUGCUUAUAGAAAUAACUUGAAGUGAUAAAAAAAAACUAGCCUGUGCCAAGUUUCAACUCUGUAUCUCAUCUGGGAGGGUAGUUACGGGUAAAAAUGUAAUCGCGAAGUUUUUGGCCUAUUUCUCCUAUUUAAUGACAUUCGACUGUAGAAAUAGCCGCUUUAAUUGCUGCUGGAAUAUUUAAUGAGGGUCACGCUGCAGUUCUACAACUUAUGGCAGAACUGCAGCUAACAAUAGGGAGCCAGUGUAAGAGGUACGCUGACGAAAUGAACGAGCGCCGGCUGGUUCGUCAAGGACGACGCAGCCUUUUAUCAUCCAAGGAGGCUCGGAAAGCUCGAAAAGAACAGCUAAUCCAGCAGAAUGAGAUUUUCGAGGAAACUGAAGGGCUAUUAUAUGGCCCUGGAAUUGCUAAUUAACCGAAGGAUAUAACAAACGCUACAUGUCACGCCGAUCUCCAACUCCCGCGCGGACCUGUUGGACUAUCAUCAAUAAUACGCC